GCCCCUGUAGCUCAGCGGUAGAGCGUUCGCCUUGUAAGCGAAAGGUCACGAGUUCAAUCCUCGUCGGGGGCU
This 72-nucleotide transfer RNA is filed under the name Candidatus Micrarchaeota archaeon CG10_big_fil_rev_8_21_14_0_10_45_29. RNAcentral describes it as "tRNA-Thr". It matches the Rfam family "tRNA". From Rfam's summary of the family: Transfer RNA (tRNA) molecules are approximately 80 nucleotides in length. Their secondary structure includes four short double-helical elements and three loops (D, anti-codon, and T loops). Further hydrogen bonds mediate the characteristic L-shaped molecular structure. tRNAs have two regions of fundamental functional importance: the anti-codon, which is responsible for specific mRNA codon recognition, and the 3' end, to which the tRNAs corresponding amino acid is attached (by aminoacyl-tRNA synthetases). tRNAs cope with the degeneracy of the genetic code in two manners: having more than one tRNA (with a specific anti-codon) for a particular amino acid; and 'wobble' base-pairing, i.e. permitting non-standard base-pairing at the 3rd anti-codon position. The record is from RNAcentral. Lineage: Archaea; Nanobdellati; Microcaldota.